CCCUUAGAUGUUCUGGGCCGCACGCGCGCUACAAUGAUGAAUUCAACGAGUUUAUAACCUUGGUUGAAAAGCCUGGGUAAUCUUUUGAACUUUCGUCGUGAUGGGGCUAGACCCUUGCAAUUAUUGGUCUCCAACGAGGAAUUCCUAGUAAACGCAAGUCAUCAGCUUGCAUUGAUUACGUCCCUGCCCUUUGUACACACCGCCCGUCGCACCUACCGAUUGAAUGGUCCGGUGAAAUCUUCGGAUUGAGACUUUGAUUUCUUCACGGAAAACGCUGUUUUAAGAAGUUGAUUAAACCUUACCAUUUAGAGGAAGGUGAAGCCGUAACA
This 329-nucleotide ribosomal RNA is filed under the name uncultured eukaryote. Its description in RNAcentral is "partial 18S ribosomal RNA". It matches the Rfam family "Eukaryotic small subunit ribosomal RNA", at positions 1470 to 1796 of the family's 1831-position model. The record is from RNAcentral.